Molecule: ribosomal RNA, 125 nt
Filed under: Volvariella sp.
Lineage: Eukaryota; Fungi; Basidiomycota; Agaricomycetes; Agaricales; Pluteaceae
Description: partial small subunit ribosomal RNA
Rfam family: Eukaryotic small subunit ribosomal RNA
Source: RNAcentral
CCUUUGUACACACCGCCCGUCGCUACUACCGAUUGAAUGGCUUAGUGAGGUCUCCGGAUUAGCUUUGGGGUGUGGGCAACCGCGCCCUAUCGCUGAGAAGCUGAUCAAACUUGGUCAUUUAGAGG